Molecule: ribosomal RNA, 312 nt
Filed under: uncultured Oribacterium sp.
Lineage: Bacteria; Bacillati; Bacillota; Clostridia; Lachnospirales; Lachnospiraceae
Description: bacterial SSU rRNA
Rfam family: Bacterial small subunit ribosomal RNA
Source: RNAcentral
UGAGGGAAUAUUUGGGUCAAUGGGCGGGAGCCUGAACCAGCCAAGUCGCGUGAGGGAGGAAGGUCCUACGGAUUGUAAACCUCUCUAGCCGGGGAGCAACGUGCGCCACGCGUGGCGCAGUGAGAGUACCCGGAGAAUAAGCAUCGGCUAACUACGUGCCAGCAGCCGCGGUAAUACGUAGGGGGCAAGCGUUAUCCGGAUUUACUGGGUGUAAAGGGAGCGUAGACGGAACGGCAAGUUUGAAGUGAAAUACCUGGGCUUAACCCGGGAACUGCUUUGAAAACUGUCGAUCUAGAGUGUCGGAGAGGAAAG